AGUGCGACGACACUCGACAUUCGUACGCGAUAACUCGUCCGGCAAGCAUCGCAAUCCGCAGCGCGUGGCCAGCUCGAAAGUUCAGUGAAGUUGUAUAAACCAAACCCCAAAGUAUCAAAAUGGCCAAGCUGGGACUAUUGUUCAUUGUUAUCUUCUGCAUCGUUCAGCUGACCCUCGCUGCCCGUGUCCGCCGCGACGCGCUCGAUGACACCGUCGACACCAUCAAGAAGGGAAUCUCGGACACUUUCACCAAGGAGAACGUUGACAGCUUCCUCGGAAAACUGUCGGAGCUCGGAGAAGUGAUCAAGUCCAAGGCCGGUGAAAUCGGCGAAACGCUGAAGCAGAAGACCGACGAAGCCCUCAAGAAGGAAUAAGUGUGACGUCGAGGUCAGAACACCCCUUUUAGUUGUAGCUGUUUGUACUUUUGCAAAGCAAAAAAAAAGAAGAAGACUCGUGAUGAGAAGAGGAAGAAGAACAGUACCUAAUAAAGUUAAACACUAAAAAUUACAA
Molecule: long non-coding RNA, 510 nt
Organism: Culex pipiens pallens (northern house mosquito)
Lineage: Eukaryota; Metazoa; Arthropoda; Insecta; Diptera; Culicidae
Exons: 3
Source: RefSeq, a predicted model, not a curated record